Molecule: ribosomal RNA, 484 nt
Filed under: uncultured bacterium
Lineage: Bacteria
Description: partial 16S ribosomal RNA
Rfam family: Bacterial small subunit ribosomal RNA
Source: RNAcentral
AUUGAACGCUGGCGGCAGGCCUAACACAUGCAAGUCGAGCGGAUGAAGGGAGCUUGCUCCUGGAUUCAGCUGCGGACGGGUGAGUAAUGCCUAGGAAUCUGCCUGGUAGUGGGGGAUAACGUCCGGAAACGGGCGCUAAUACCGCAUACGUCCUGAUGGAGAAAGGGGGGGAUCUUCGGACCUCACGCUAUCAGAUGAGCCUAGGUCGGAUUAGCUAGUUGGUGGGGUAAAGGCCUACCAAGGCGACGAUCCGUAACUGGUCUGAGAGGAUGAUCAGUCACACUGGAACUGAGACACGGUCCGGACUCCUACGGGAGGCAGCAGUGGGGAAUAUUGGACAAUGGGCGAAAGCCUGAUCCAGCCAUGCCGCGUGUGUGAAGAAGGUCUUCGGAUUGUAAAGCACUUUAAGUUGGGAGGAAGGGCAGUAAGUUAAUACCUUGCUGUUUUGACGUUACCAACAGAAUAAGCACCGGCUAACUUCGUG